Molecule: ribosomal RNA, 502 nt
Filed under: uncultured compost bacterium
Lineage: Bacteria
Description: bacterial SSU rRNA
Rfam family: Bacterial small subunit ribosomal RNA
Source: RNAcentral
CAAUCGCGGAAGCCUGAUGCAGCGACGCCGCGUGAGGGAUGAAGGCCUUCGGGUCGUAAACCUCUGUCCUUGGGGACGAAAUCUGACGGUACCCAAGGAGGAAGCCCCGGCUAACUACGUGCCAGCAGCCGCGGUAAUACGUAGGGGGCAAGCGUUGUCCGGAAUCACUGGGCGUAAAGGGUGCGUAGGCGGCCUAGCAAGUCCUGUGUGAAAUACCUCGGCUUAACCGGGGAGGGUCAUGGGAAACUGUUAGGCUCGAGUGCCGGAGAGGGCAGUGGAAUUCCAGGUGUAGCGGUGAAAUGCGUAGAUAUCUGGAGGAACAUCAGUGGCGAAGGCGACUGCCUGGACGGUAACUGACGCUGAGGCACGACAGCUGGGGGAGCAAACAGGAUUAGAUACCCUGGUAGUCCCAGCCGUAAACGAUGAGUGCUAGGUGUUGGGGGUAUCGACCCCUCCAGUGCCGUAGUAAACACAUUAAGCACUCCGCCUGGGGAGUACGCCC